UGCCAACUGCAAAACAGCAAAACAAAUCAAUCGAGAAAGGGCCAGACGAUCAUAUUUCCACGCUAAUUAAUACUAUAAAGACAUUUCCGAUUAGCUCAGUUGGUGAUGAAAAUAAUACUUCAAUUACGAGCACAUUCCCAGCCCAGCCCUCAGUCUGGGGGCAUAGAUUCCCCUGCCCAUCAGAUCAGCUGUUCGCGAAAAAAUAAUCCCACAAGCUGUCAUUAUGCAAGGCCCUGGCGAGGUUGGCCCUGUUACUCACACAUGUAAAUAUCUCUAAAAUAUUUUGAUGAAAGAAAGUUUUGGACAUAGCGGUAAUUUGGAUUUUGGAGCUUAAAAGGAAUAUGGACCGAGCCAGAAAAGGAGACCUAAGAUUUAGACUACAAAAUAAAGGCAGGAGUGAUGUGACAGUUCGUAGACGGUUGAUUUCAUAAGCCCCAGAAAGCUACGCAUGUGGUCUGGCCUGUGACACAGUGACGAAAACUACUUUUUACUGAUGAUAAUAUACAUAGUUGUAUUAUAUGGUAAGACAGACUCCAAUAUGUUUGGCAUUUACAGAAAUAGCAUGCUGGGCUGAGCCCUAUGAGGCCAAGCUCAUAUGAAGUGGUACCGCCCAGUCUGGAGUUUGAGUAUUGAGCAAUACUGUUUAUGUGGGCUUACUUUAUAAUACAUAACAUUCAUAUAAGAGUUAAAAAAUGGCUCUCAAAAAAAUCUUUCUAAAGGAUAAUGAUCCCAAACACUUAGGAAAGCACGCUAGGCAUUGCGUUUCAUCUGAAAAUAUCUGGAUCUGAAUCUUAUCGAAAACUUAUGGGAGAAUGUCAAAUACAUUGUAGCAACUUCAAAUCCGUCAACCAUAGAAAAGUUUUAGGAAGUUGUCAGAGGAGUAUUGACUCAAAUCCUAUUGAAGCGUUGUCUGGACCUUAUUGACCCAUACCAGGUCCGUGUAAGCCCGUAAUGAAAAUAAAAUUGAUUGAAAACUAGAUAUAAAACCUCAAGAUACAUGCAGAACCUGAAACAUAGGUUCUAAAUUUAGUUUCGCUGUUUUUUUCGAUUUUCUAAAAAACACUACUAUUUCUAUGAACAGCAGAUUUCAUGGGUAGUUGUCUAAAGAUAUGAAAAACAUGAAAAUGGAAUGCAAAUGCAACGCGAUUUCUUUUAUUUUAUAUUUUUUACAUUCUUGUAUAUCCAAAAAGGUAUUACAUGUUAAAUUUGGAAUACUGCCAAUGUCUCAAAAACAGUCUUGAAAGUGGUGAGGUGCGGCACUACUAUUUCAAUGACCACAGCUGUAUAUAUACAGGGUGGAUGCAAUGACUUUUUACAGUGCUUCGAAGGAAAAUAACAUGCAGAAAAAAAACAAAACAAAAUCAUAAAUAAAAUAUAUGAAAGGUACUGCAAAAUUACAGAGUGUUCCAUGUGAAUGAAACGUGGAAGAUUUCUCUGUGGCUGUGCGUUUAUUAGUGCGUUCAAAAGGAAAGUUUAUAUUUUACUGUCUUUUUUUUUAGGCGAUUUUUAGUUAGUUAUGAAAAUACAGAACUAAAAGCCAGUUUUCCUUUCGAUUUGUAAUGUCUUUCCGAAGGUUGCAUACACAGAACCAAUUAAAACGGUUAUAGUUUACCAACUGUAGGCCUUCUAAAGCAAUUAAACAAAGUUGUAAUCGACACUUGGCGAGCAAAAACAAAAGCAAGGUACAGGCGUGGGUGCCCUGAACGCCAAACGGUGUGCCACGAAUGGAGCCGAGGCGUACCUGUCGUCAGUAGUUUGAGGGUCAACGUCAUCGUGUUUAAUUGGCGGCGAGAAAUGCUUUAAGCUGGAUAGUAGACCAUAUAAGGUGCGACGCGGCUGCCGUUUGGCUGAGAGGCACACACAGAGGCGUGAAUUAAGGCCAUCCAUGCAGUUGUUGGGCAGAACAGAGACGAGACCCAGCCCAGCCUCAAAGGCAGCUGGAAGAGUGCCAGUCGCAAAGCGGAAGCAAGAACAGAUGAGAUCACCAGCCAUAACACGAUGAAAAGAGAGGUGCAAACAAACACGGCUUCAACUGGGGACGCCUAGUGGCACUAAUGACGCAUCGAGUACGAAAGAUAUGUACAUAUCUUUUCCAUGCAAAUGACUAACGCACCAGCUCUGGGGCGAUCCCAGCCAUGUAGCGGUAAUGAUUCCAAAGUGCAUGACGUAAAAUUAAUGCCUUAUUUAUGUGUUCACUGAGCCACACGGCAGCGGCACGAAAGCGCGAAGACGGUGGACAAAGAAUGGCCGAAAGCAAGAGACACAAAGUCACAAGAAACAAACAAAACUUACCCGCAACAAUUGUUCAACAAUACGGACGGGAAGGUAUCUUGUAUUGGCCUACGUGUGCCGCGUUCCAGUUGUUUCCAGAUGCAAUGCAGUGCAACCUCUGCGCUGCUGCAGAUUUGGGGUUGGUGGACGGAGGCUGCGCGUUAGGUGCGGGCGUUCUUGCACACACACACAGUUUUAUUGAUUAAAAAAUGUUUCUUUUCUGGCCGAAAUAGUGCGAAAGAU
Drosophila obscura is the source of this 2514-nucleotide long non-coding RNA. RefSeq lists it as uncharacterized. NCBI's taxonomy places the organism in Eukaryota, Metazoa, Arthropoda, Insecta, Diptera, Drosophilidae. The record is from RefSeq and is a predicted model, not a curated record. The transcript is spliced from 3 exons.